Molecule: ribosomal RNA, 1489 nt
Filed under: Lactiplantibacillus plantarum
Lineage: Bacteria; Bacillati; Bacillota; Bacilli; Lactobacillales; Lactobacillaceae
Also listed under: 1 other name
Description: bacterial SSU rRNA
Rfam family: Bacterial small subunit ribosomal RNA
Source: RNAcentral
GACGAACGCUGGCGGCGUGCCUAAUACAUGCAAGUCGAACGAACUCUGGUAUUGAUUGGUGCUUGCAUCAUGAUUUACAUUUGAGUGAGUGGCGAACUGGUGAGUAACACGUGGGAAACCUGCCCAGAAGCGGGGGAUAACACCUGGAAACAGAUGCUAAUACCGCAUAACAACUUGGACCGCAUGGUCCGAGCUUGAAAGAUGGCUUCGGCUAUCACUUUUGGAUGGUCCCGCGGCGUAUUAGCUAGAUGGUGGGGUAACGGCUCACCAUGGCAAUGAUACGUAGCCGACCUGAGAGGGUAAUCGGCCACAUUGGGACUGAGACACGGCCCAAACUCCUACGGGAGGCAGCAGUAGGGAAUCUUCCACAAUGGACGAAAGUCUGAUGGAGCAACGCCGCGUGAGUGAAGAAGGGUUUCGGCUCGUAAAACUCUGUUGUUAAAGAAGAACAUAUCUGAGAGUAACUGUUCAGGUAUUGACGGUAUUUAACCAGAAAGCCACGGCUAACUACGUGCCAGCAGCCGCGGUAAUACGUAGGUGGCAAGCGUUGUCCGGAUUUAUUGGGCGUAAAGCGAGCGCAGGCGGUUUUUUAAGUCUGAUGUGAAAGCCUUCGGCUCAACCGAAGAAGUGCAUCGGAAACUGGGAAACUUGAGUGCAGAAGAGGACAGUGGAACUCCAUGUGUAGCGGUGAAAUGCGUAGAUAUAUGGAAGAACACCAGUGGCGAAGGCGGCUGUCUGGUCUGUAACUGACGCUGAGGCUCGAAAGUAUGGGUAGCAAACAGGAUUAGAUACCCUGGUAGUCCAUACCGUAAACGAUGAAUGCUAAGUGUUGGAGGGUUUCCGCCCUUCAGUGCUGCAGCUAACGCAUUAAGCAUUCCGCCUGGGGAGUACGGCCGCAAGGCUGAAACUCAAAGGAAUUGACGGGGGCCCGCACAAGCGGUGGAGCAUGUGGUUUAAUUCGAAGCUACGCGAAGAACCUUACCAGGUCUUGACAUACUAUGCAAAUCUAAGAGAUUAGACGUUCCCUUCGGGGACAUGGAUACAGGUGGUGCAUGGUUGUCGUCAGCUCGUGUCGUGAGAUGUUGGGUUAAGUCCCGCAACGAGCGCAACCCUUAUUAUCAGUUGCCAGCAUUAAGUUGGGCACUCUGGUGAGACUGCCGGUGACAAACCGGAGGAAGGCGGGGAUGACGUCAAAUCAUCAUGCCCCUUAUGACCUGGGCUACACACGUGCUACAAUGGAUGGUACAACGAGUUGCGAACUCGCGAGAGUAAGCUAAUCUCUUAAAGCCAUUCUCAGUUCGGAUUGUAGGCUGCAACUCGCCUACAUGAAGUCGGAAUCGCUAGUAAUCGCGGAUCAGCAUGCCGCGGUGAAUACGUUCCCGGGCCUUGUACACACCGCCCGUCACACCAUGAGAGUUUGUAACACCCAAAGUCGGUGGGGUAACCUUUUAGGAACCAGCCGCCUAAGGUGGGACAGAUGAUUAGGGUG